This 124-nucleotide small nucleolar RNA is filed under the name Suricata suricatta (meerkat). RNAcentral's name for it is "Small nucleolar RNA SNORA51 (ENSSSUG00005016398.1)". It matches the Rfam family "Small nucleolar RNA SNORA51". Rfam says of the family: ACA51 is a member of the H/ACA class of snoRNA that guide the sites of modification of uridines to pseudouridines. Lineage: Eukaryota; Metazoa; Chordata; Mammalia; Carnivora; Herpestidae. The record is from Rfam by way of RNAcentral.
AGCCUCCUGGUGCUUAUGAGGCUAUGUUCUUAUACUGUAUAGAAAGAGGAGGCAGAGUAAACCCAUCCAUAUACACCUGAGCCCAGGUCCUUUGUCUGGUCUGUAUUGUGAAUGGGGAACAUCA